CGAUGAUGGGAGCUAGCUUGCUAGAAGAAGUCAUGGCGGACGGGUGAGUAACGUGUAAAGAACUUACCAUAUAGACUGGGAUAACAGAGGGAAACUUCUGAUAAUACUGGAUAAGUUAGAAGUAGCAUUACUAAGUAAUGAAAGGUAGCAAUACGCUAUAUGAGAGCUUUGCAUCCUAUUAGCUAGUUGGUGGGGUAGAAGCCUACCAAGGCGAUGAUAGGUAGCCGGCCUGAGAGGGUGGACGGCCACAAGGGGACUGAGAUACGGCCCUUACUCCUACGGGAGGCAGCAGUGGGGAAUAUUGGACAAUGGAGGCAGCUCUGAUCCAGCAAUUCUGUGUGUGUGAAGAAGAUUUUAGGACUGUAAAACACUUUUAGUAGGGAAGAAAGAAAUGACGGUACCUACAGAAGAAGCGACGGCUAAAUACGUGCCAGCAGCCGCGGUAAUACGUAUGUCGCGAGCGUUAUCCGGAAUUAUUGGGCUUAAAGGGCAUCUAGGCGGUUAAACAAGUUGAAGGUGAAAACCUGUGGCUCAACCAUAGGCUUGCCUACAAAACUGUAUAACUAGAGUACUGGAAAGGUGGGUGGAACUACACGAGUAGAGGUGAAAUUCGUAGAUAUGUGUAGGAAUGCCGAUGAUGAAGAUAACUCACUGGACAGCAACUGACGCUGAAGUGCGAAAGCUAGGGGAGCAAACAGGAUUAGAUACCCUGGUAGUCCUAGCUGUAAACGAUGAUCACUGGGUGUGGGGAUUCGAAGUCUCUGUGCCGAAGCAAAAGCGAUAAGUGAUCCGCCUGGGGAGUACGUUCGCAAG
Molecule: ribosomal RNA, 813 nt
Filed under: uncultured bacterium
Lineage: Bacteria
Description: bacterial SSU rRNA
Rfam family: Bacterial small subunit ribosomal RNA
Source: RNAcentral